UACGGAGGGUGCUAGCGUUGUUCGGAAUCACUGGACGUAAAGGGCGUGUAGGCGGUCUGUUAAGUCUGAUGUGAAAUCCCCUCGCUCAACGAGGGAACUGCGUCGGAUACUGGCAGACUUGAGUACCGGAGAGGAAGGUGGAAUUCCCGGUGUAGCGGUGAAAUGCGUAGAUAUCAGGAAGAACACCCGUGGCUAAGGCGGCUCUCUAGUACGGUACUGACGCUGAGACGCGAAAGCGUGGGGAGCGAACAGG
Molecule: ribosomal RNA, 253 nt
Filed under: uncultured bacterium
Lineage: Bacteria
Description: partial 16S ribosomal RNA
Rfam family: Bacterial small subunit ribosomal RNA
Source: RNAcentral